UCUCUUUAAUCACAGCCACACACGUGGCACAACUCAUGGCUCCAGAUUUCUAGUCUUUUAAAUGAGUUUAAAAUUACCAAAAGACCCCUGACUUUAAACGUUAAUAACUUCUUCGUUAGAACUUCGUUUCACGAACGGUUUACGCCUACGCGUUCGUGAGAUCAAACUCUAUUCAAAAAUAUGAUUUGUGACAUCGAAAAGUCUACGGAUUUUAAAUAAUUAAUGUCCAAACUUUAAAGGGUGUGCUAUCCACACACCUCAUUUUACUUCUUACACACCCCUUGAUAAUUUCUGUUCGUUGAUCUUUUUCAAUUCAUCCGAUCCGAUGGCUGAAAAUUAAAAAGGUGUGUGAGAAGUAAAAUAGGGUGUGUGGAUAUCACACCCCAACUUUAAACCUCGUAACUAGUUUAAUUUAAAACCAAACUCAAAUAACUUAAUAUAAAUUCUCAAUCAUGAAAAUACUUAAAUUUUAAUAAUUUCCGAAAACCAAAACUUAAAAGUUCUCGAUUAAUUUCUCCAUAACCAUAAAUCGAUUCAUUUCCGCUUUUCUCCAUUCUAUAAUUAUGAAUAUAUAUAACUCAUAUAUUUAAAAUUUCAGGGUAUUACAUUCACCCCCCCCCCGGGUUAAAAUAAAUCCCGUCCCUGAGAUUUUACUCGUUAAGUUAUGAGCAAGAACUAGUACUAUUUCCACCAUCUCUACUAUGGUGAAUAAGAUUAUAACCUCUAUCCACAAUUUUAUUCAAAUUAAGAAAAAUCAAUGAAGAAUUCAUCGUGAUUGCACCCAUUUCCUCAUUUUUCCAACCACCUUCUUUGAUAAGUAAAAAUACCAUAACUUCUAGCCACGUACCUUGACCGAAUAAAUAUCAUAAAUUUCUAGCUGUAAUUCGUCAGUGGCCAAAUAAAUAUCACAAUAUUAAGCCAAACCACUAAAAUUGGCAAAUCAGUUAGCAAAAAUUUCAACCAAAAUCAUUGGAAUUCCAACCAUCAUUACUCGCUACCAUGGUCCGAAAUGCCGAUAAUAUCGACGAUAUAUCGCCGAUAUUAUCGGUUUUUAGGAGAACCGAUUUUUUUUUCAAUAUCCAAAUGGUUUUCGGGAUAAUAUCGCGAUAUUAUCGAUAAUAUUGAUAAUAUCGCGAUAUUAUCGAAAUUAUCGAAAAUAUCGGACCAUGACAGAUCGGAGAAGAACGCCG
This 1190-nucleotide long non-coding RNA is filed under the name Malus domestica (apple). Its description in RNAcentral is "long non-coding RNA (MDOM_LNC010958)". Lineage: Eukaryota; Viridiplantae; Streptophyta; Magnoliopsida; Rosales; Rosaceae. The record is from RNAcentral.